This is a non-coding RNA of Prunus avium (sweet cherry), 801 nucleotides long. The record is from RefSeq and is a predicted model, not a curated record. NCBI's taxonomy places the organism in Eukaryota, Viridiplantae, Streptophyta, Magnoliopsida, Rosales, Rosaceae.
CACUCAGACUUCACGUGCUCAAUCGGAGGGACCUUCAAAGGGUCAAGCAAGUUUGGACUCACAAUGAGUGGACAUUUAUUUUAUAAUGAUUUUUCAUACUAUGAUGGUUUUAUGAAACGCUUUAUGAACAGAUUAUUUAUGGUAUUUACUUUCCGAACAUUUGAUUUUGGUUAAGAAAAGGUUAUAUUAUUAUUAUUAUUAUUAUUAUUAUUAUUAUUGAUAAGUGAGAUUAGUUCAAGAAAUUGAGAAUGAUUUGAGAACUGGAUUUGAGAAAAGUUUUGGAAAGGUUUUCAAAACCACCUAGUUAUCCUUUGGUUGCCUUCGGAUUUUAUGAUGUCCUCGGACAUCUCAGUUGCUUUCAAGAAAUGGUUUGUCUUCGGACGAUUUGGUUAUCUUUGGAUAAGUCUGCGCGCGUAUGACCAUGUGCCAAGAGUCUCAGGGAUGCCCGAGCCGUGUGCUGCGAGGAAUGUGUCUCAGGCCGACUUUGUGCCCCCUGAGUUCUGUGAGGAUGUAUCACACAUGUGGCCACAUGUGUGAUACCUGGAAUUGACGGCAGUAGACGAGUACCAGACAACCACUUGAGGGCCUUCAACCAUCUACCACUUUUCCUUCUUCUCUCUCGUGUAGGCAUUUACUCUGUUGUAAAUAAUUUUCUGGCUGUAAACUUAAUUGAAAUAGUUAUGCUCUAAUAUAGUCUUGAAUCCCUGUAAGGCUUGAAGUCAACUGAAAUAACUAUUUUGUAUGUGAACUUAACUUGUGCGUGCUGAACGUUUGGGGAAUUUUAAUUUGUGACUUUGUUUA